Molecule: ribosomal RNA, 497 nt
Filed under: uncultured bacterium
Lineage: Bacteria
Description: partial 16S ribosomal RNA
Rfam family: Bacterial small subunit ribosomal RNA
Source: RNAcentral
GAUGAACGCUGGCGGCGUGCCUAAUACAUGCAAGUCGAGCGAACGGACGAGAAGCUUGCUUCUCUGAUGUUAGCGGCGGACGGGUGAGUAACACGUGGAUAACCUACCUAUAAGACUGGGAUAACUUCGGGAAACCGGAGCUAAUACCGGAUAAUAUUUUGAACCGCAUGGUUCAAUAGUGAAAGACGGUCUUGCUGUCACUUAUAGAUGGAUCCGCGCUGCAUUAGCUAGUUGGUAAGGUAACGGCUUACCAAGGCAACGAUGCAUAGCCGACCUGAGAGGGUGAUCGGCCACACUGGAACUGAGACACGGUCCAGACUCCUACGGGAGGCAGCAGUAGGGAAUCUUCCGCAAUGGGCGAAAGCCUGACGGAGCAGCGCCGCGUGAGUGAUGAAGGUCUUCGGAUCGUAAAACUCUGUUAUUAGGGAAGAACAUAUGUGUAAGUAACUGUGCACAUCUUGACGGUACCUAAUCAGAAAGCCACGGCUAACUACGUG